RNAcentral lists this ribosomal RNA (429 nucleotides) under uncultured bacterium. Its description in RNAcentral is "bacterial SSU rRNA". It matches the Rfam family "Bacterial small subunit ribosomal RNA", at positions 355 to 775 of the family's 1533-position model. The record is from RNAcentral.
UGGGGAAUUGUUCACAAUGGGCGCAAGCCUGAUGACGCAACGCCGCGUGGAGGAUGAAGACCUUCGGGUCGUAAACUCCUUUCGACCGAGAUGAAGAGCCUCCGACCUAAUACGUCGGAGGCCUGACAGUAUCGAGGGAAGAAGCCCCGGCUAACUCUGUGCCAGCAGCCGCGGUAAUACAGGGGGGGCAAGCGUUGUUCGGAAUUACUGGGCGUAAAGGGUCUGUAGGUGGCUUACUAAGUCAGACGUGAAAUCCCUCAGCUUAACUGGGGAACUGCGUCUGAUACUGGAAAGCUUGAGUGCAGGAGAGGAACGCGGAAUUCCAGGUGUAGCGGUGAAAUGCGUAGAUAUCUGGAGGAACACCGGUGGCGAAGGCGGCGUUCUGGACUGCAACUGACACUGAGAGACGAAAGCCAGGGGAGCAAACGG